UGGGGAAUAUUGGACAAUGGGCGCAAGCCUGAUCCAGCCAUGCCGCGUGUGUGAAGAAGGCCUUCGGGUUGUAAAGCACUUUCAGCGAGGAGGAAGGGUUGUGUGUUAAUAGUACACAGCCUUGACGUUACUCGCAGAAGAAGCACCGGCUAACUCUGUGCCAGCAGCCGCGGUAAUACAGAGGGUGCAAGCGUUAAUCGGAAUUACUGGGCGUAAAGCGCACGCAGGCGGUUGGUUAAGUCAGAUGUGAAAGCCCCGGGCUCAACCUGGGAAUUGCAUUUGAAACUGGCCAACUAGAGUACGUGAGAGGGGGGUAGAAUUCCAAGUGUAGCGGUGAAAUGCGUAGAGAUUUGGAGGAAUACCAGUGGCGAAGGCGGCCCCCUGGCACGAUACUGACGCU
RNAcentral lists this ribosomal RNA (400 nucleotides) under uncultured bacterium. RNAcentral describes it as "bacterial SSU rRNA". It matches the Rfam family "Bacterial small subunit ribosomal RNA", at positions 355 to 747 of the family's 1533-position model. The record is from RNAcentral.